GAUUAAGUUAUUAAGGGCGCACGGUGGAUGCCUUGGCACUAGAAGCUGAUGAAGGACGUUACUAACGACGAUAUGCUUUGGGGAGCUGUAAGUAAGCUUUGAUCCAGAGAUUUCCGAAUGGGGAAACCCAGCAUGAGUUAUGUCAUGUUAUCGAUAUGUGAAUACAUAGCAUAUCAGAAGGCACACCCGGAGAACUGAAACAUCUUAGUACCCGGAGGAAGAGAAAGAAAAUUCGAUUCCCUUAGUAGCGGCGAGCGAAACGGGAAGAGCCCAAACCAACAAGCUUGCUUGUUGGGGUUGUAGGACACUCUAUACGGAGUUACAAAGGACGACAUUAGACGAAUCAUCUGGAAAGAUGAAUCAAAGAAGGUAAUAAUCCUGUAGUCGAAAAUGUUGUCUCUCUUGAGUGGAUCCUGAGUACGACGGAGCACGUGAAAUUCCGUCGGAAUCUGGGAGGACCAUCUCCUAAGGCUAAAUACUCUCUAGUGACCGAUAGUGAACCAGUACCGUGAGGGAAAGGUGAAAAGCACCCCGGAAGGGGAGUGAAAUAGAACCUGAAACCGUGUGCUUACAAGUAGUCAGAGCCCGUUAAUGGGUGAUGGCGUGCCUUUUGUAGAAUGAACCGGCGAGUUACGAUUUGAUGCAAGGUUAAGCAGUAAAUGUGGAGCCGUAGCGAAAGCGAGUCUGAAUAGGGCGUUUAGUAUUUGGUCGUAGACCCGAAACCAGGUGAUCUACCCUUGGUCAGGUUGAAGUUCAGGUAACACUGAAUGGAGGACCGAACCGACUUACGUUGAAAAGUGAGCGGAUGAACUGAGGGUAGCGGAGAAAUUCCAAUCGAACCUGGAGAUAGCUGGUUCUCUCCGAAAUAGCUUUAGGGCUAGCCUCAAGUGAUGAUUAUUGGAGGUAGAGCACUGUUUGGACGAGGGGCCCCUCUCGGGUUACCGAAUUCAGACAAACUCCGAAUGCCAAUUAAUUUAACUUGGGAGUCAGAACAUGGGUGAUAAGGUCCGUGUUCGAAAGGGAAACAGCCCAGACCACCAGCUAAGGUCCCAAAAUAUAUGUUAAGUGGAAAAGGAUGUGGCGUUGCCCAGACAACUAGGAUGUUGGCUUAGAAGCAGCCAUCAUUUAAAGAGUGCGUAAUAGCUCACUAGUCGAGUGACACUGCGCCGAAAAUGUACCGGGGCUAAACAUAUUACCGAAGCUGUGGAUUGUCCUUUGGACAAUGGUAGGAGAGCGUUCUAAGGGCGUUGAAGCAUGAUCGUAAGGACAUGUGGAGCGCUUAGAAGUGAGAAUGCCGGUGUGAGUAGCGAAAGACGGGUGAGAAUCCCGUCCACCGAUUGACUAAGGUUUCCAGAGGAAGGCUCGUCCGCUCUGGGUUAGUCGGGUCCUAAGCUGAGGCCGACAGGCGUAGGCGAUGGAUAACAGGUUGAUAUUCCUGUACCACCUAUAAUCGUUUUAAUCGAUGGGGGGACGCAGUAGGAUAGGCGAAGCGUGCGAUUGGAUUGCACGUCUAAGCAGUAAGGCUGAGUAUUAGGCAAAUCCGGUACUCGUUAAGGCU
RNAcentral lists this ribosomal RNA (1558 nucleotides) under Staphylococcus aureus. RNAcentral's name for it is "partial 23S ribosomal RNA". It matches the Rfam family "Bacterial large subunit ribosomal RNA", at positions 1 to 1557 of the family's 2925-position model. The record is from RNAcentral. Lineage: Bacteria; Bacillati; Bacillota; Bacilli; Caryophanales; Staphylococcaceae.